Molecule: ribosomal RNA, 673 nt
Filed under: Scrippsiella donghaiensis
Lineage: Eukaryota; Dinophyceae; Peridiniales; Peridiniaceae
Description: partial large subunit ribosomal RNA
Rfam family: Eukaryotic large subunit ribosomal RNA
Source: RNAcentral
AAGACAUGAAGUUAGGUCAGCAAACCCGCUGAAUUUAAGCAUAUAAGUAAGCGGAGGAAAAGAAACUAAAUAGGAUUCCCUCAGUAAUGGCGAAUGAACAGGGAUGAGCUCAGUAUGGAAAUUGGGGCCUGUGGCCUUGAAUUGUAGUCUGGAGAUGUACCACCAACUGGGGCGCAGAUGUAAGCCUCUUGGAAAAGAGCAUCAAUGAGGGUGAGAGUCCCGCAUGGCAUCUGCAGUCCCCAGUGCACGGUGUACCUUCUAAGAGUCACGUUCCUCGGGAUUGGAGCGCAAAUCGGGUGGUAAAUUUCAUCUAAAGCUAAAUAUAGUUUCGAGACCGAUAGCAAACAAGUACCAUGAGGGAAAGGUGAAAAGGACUUUGAAAAGAGAGUUAAAAGUGCCUGAAAUUGCUGAAAGGGAAGCGAAUGGAACCAGCGAAACUUGGCAAGAUUGCUGUGUGUCAAUGUGAUUGCUUGCUGCUGCAACGUAAGUGUGGUAGUAAGUCUUGAGCAGGACAUGCUCGGUGUUUCUUGCCUUGUGUGUCACCUGUGGUUCGUGAUUGAGGAAAACUUCAGGGACAUGGUAGCCUGUCUCCGGGUGGGUGAACGUGUCUGCUGGAACUCAUUCGUGGACUGCUUGGUGACUAAAUGGUUUCAUCCGACCCGUCUUGAAACAC